Molecule: long non-coding RNA, 369 nt
Organism: Macrobrachium nipponense
Lineage: Eukaryota; Metazoa; Arthropoda; Malacostraca; Decapoda; Palaemonidae
Exons: 3
Source: RefSeq, a predicted model, not a curated record
GCUGCGCAACAAUAUCUCGUCUCUCGGUCUCAGAGUAGAUUUUAGCGGAACUGACGACGCUCCGUCGAUAUAAAAGUGGCCGUCGGCUGUGUUCUUUGUAGUUCGAUCGCGGUAAAGCAACUUGGUCGUCGCCGACUUCUUCAUCAGGUAUUGACUGCUAGCAAUCAACAUGCUUCUUCGUCCAUCUACAUUUGUGCUCGUAGCAGUGACACUGGGGCUGCAUGUGGCAUCUGCAAAACGCACGUGCUUCACAAGUCUUCGCCUGAAGACCACCAGUGGAUUUGUAGAGAAGGAAUCGAGGGCUUUGAGACCAGGGCUUUCUUGGGACUUGCGCUACUGUUAAGAAGGAUUGUCCUGGAAAGCUUUUAG